GUGCACAGUGAACACCCAGGGAUGCUGAUGUGGCUCCCCCUGGUCACUUGUAUCUGUGCUACAUCAAAUCUGAUCUGUACCUCUGCAUUAGGAGAGCCUGUUCCUCUCCUACAUGUAUUCAGCGGAUCAGAAUAAAC
This 137-nucleotide small nucleolar RNA is filed under the name Anabas testudineus (climbing perch). Its description in RNAcentral is "Small nucleolar RNA SNORA22 (ENSATEG00000007838.2)". It matches the Rfam family "Small nucleolar RNA SNORA22". Rfam says of the family: ACA22 is a member of the H/ACA class of snoRNA that guide the sites of modification of uridines to pseudouridines. The record is from Rfam by way of RNAcentral. Lineage: Eukaryota; Metazoa; Chordata; Actinopteri; Anabantiformes; Anabantidae.